This 321-nucleotide ribosomal RNA is filed under the name uncultured Prevotella sp. Its description in RNAcentral is "bacterial SSU rRNA". It matches the Rfam family "Bacterial small subunit ribosomal RNA", at positions 28 to 339 of the family's 1533-position model. The record is from RNAcentral. Lineage: Bacteria; Pseudomonadati; Bacteroidota; Bacteroidia; Bacteroidales; Prevotellaceae.
GAUGAACGCUAGCUACAGGCUUAACACAUGCAAGUCGAGGGGCAGCAUGAAGGAAGCUUGCUUCCUUUGAUGGCGACCGGCGCACGGGUGAGUAACGCGUAUCCAACCUUCCCUUAACUUGGGAAUAGCCCGGUGAAAACCGGAUUAAUGCCCGAUGUGGUCCAGCGAGGGCAUCUGACCCGGACCAAAGAAUUUGUCGGUUAAGGAUGGGGAUGCGUCUGAUUAGCUUGUUGGCGGGGUAACGGCCCACCAAGGCUACGAUCGGUAGCCGGUCUGAGAGGAUGAACGGCCACAUUGGGACUGAGACACGGCCCAGACUCC